RNAcentral lists this ribosomal RNA (255 nucleotides) under uncultured Leptotrichia sp. Its description in RNAcentral is "partial 16S ribosomal RNA". It matches the Rfam family "Bacterial small subunit ribosomal RNA", at positions 96 to 355 of the family's 1533-position model. The record is from RNAcentral. Lineage: Bacteria; Fusobacteriati; Fusobacteriota; Fusobacteriia; Fusobacteriales; Leptotrichiaceae.
UGGCGGACGGGUGAGUAACGCGUAAGAACUUGCCUCAGACUGGGAUAACAGAGGGAAACUUCUGAUAAUACUGGAUAAGUUAGUAUAUCGCAUGAUAUGCAAAUGAAAGCUACGGCACUAAAGGAGAGCUUUGCGUCCUAUUAGCUAGUUGGUAAGGUAAGAGCUUACCAAGGCGAUGAUAGGUAGCCGGCCUGAGAGGGUGGACGGCCACAAGGGGACUGAGAUACGGCCCUUACUCCUACGGGAGGCAGCAGC